CCCUUAGACGUUCUGGGCCGCACGCGCGCUACACUGACCAGUGCAACAAGCAUCCGUCCUUGGCCGACAGGCGCGGGCAAUCUUUGAACGCUGGUCGUGAUGGGGAUAGACUUUUGCAAUUUUUGGUCUUCAACGAGGAAUUCCUAGUAAACGCAAGUCAUCAACUUGCAUUGAUUACGUCCCUGCCCUUUGUACACACCGCCCGUCGCACCUACCGAUUGAAUGGUCCGGUGAAGCCUCCGGAUUGGCGCGCACCUCGGUGCCGCCGAGAAGUUGGCUAAACCUUACCAUUUAGAGGAAGGUGAAGUCGUAACA
This 315-nucleotide ribosomal RNA is filed under the name uncultured eukaryote. Its description in RNAcentral is "partial 18S ribosomal RNA". It matches the Rfam family "Eukaryotic small subunit ribosomal RNA", at positions 1470 to 1796 of the family's 1831-position model. The record is from RNAcentral.